Molecule: ribosomal RNA, 787 nt
Filed under: fungal sp.
Lineage: Eukaryota; Fungi
Description: eukaryotic LSU rRNA
Rfam family: Eukaryotic large subunit ribosomal RNA (bases 515-787)
Source: RNAcentral
GGUGACCUGCGGAAGGAUCAUUACUGAGUGAGGGCCCUCUGGGUCCAACCUCCCACCCGUGUUUAUUGUACCUUGUUGCUUCGGUGCGCCCGCCUCACGGCCGCCGGGGGGCUUCUGCCCCCGGGUCCGCGCGCACCGGAGACACUAUUGAACUCUGUCUGAAGAUUGCAGUCUGAGCAUAAACUAAAUAAGUUAAAACUUUCAACAACGGAUCUCUUGGUUCCGGCAUCGAUGAAGAACGCAGCGAAAUGCGAUAACUAAUGUGAAUUGCAGAAUUCAGUGAAUCAUCGAGUCUUUGAACGCACAUUGCGCCCCCUGGUAUUCCGGGGGGCAUGCCUGUCCGAGCGUCAUUGCUGCCCUCAAGCACGGCUUGUGUGUUGGGCUCCGUCCCCCCGGGGACGGGUCCGAAAGGCAGCGGCGGCACCGAGUCCGGUCCUCGAGCGUAUGGGGCUUUGUCACCCGCUCUGUAGGCCCGGCCGGCGCCAGCCGACAACCAAUCAUCCUUUUUUCAGGUUGACCUCGGAUCAGGUAGGGAUACCCGCUGAACUUAAGCAUAUCAAUAAGCGGAGGAAAAGAAACCAACAGGGAUUACCUCAGUAACGGCGAGUGAAGCGGUAAGAGCUCAAAUUUGAAAGCUGGCUCCUUCGGGGUCCGCAUUGUAAUUUGCAGAGGAUGUUUCGGGAGCAGCCCCCAUCUAAGUGUCCUGGAACGGACCGUCAUAGAGGGUGAGAAUCCCGUAUGGGAUGGGGUGUCUGCGCCCAUGUGAAACUCCUUCGACGAGUCGAGU